CGGUGCGUAGACGCCGGAUACUUCGACUGCUAAUCGAGAGGUCGCAGGUUCGACUCCUGCCGUCCCGGC
Molecule: transfer RNA, 69 nt
Filed under: Dactylosporangium siamense
Lineage: Bacteria; Bacillati; Actinomycetota; Actinomycetes; Micromonosporales; Micromonosporaceae
Description: tRNA-Ser
Rfam family: tRNA
About the family: Transfer RNA (tRNA) molecules are approximately 80 nucleotides in length. Their secondary structure includes four short double-helical elements and three loops (D, anti-codon, and T loops).
Source: RNAcentral